GGCACUCCUCAGAAGCUGCAGGCCUGAGCCAGGGCACAGGGCACAGGCUUGGCAAGUGGAUUGGGAGGGAUGGUUCAGCCACCACCUCCAGCCUGGCCAGGUGUGUGUGGGUCGGGUCCUUGGUUCACAGAGGCCUUCAGCCCAGCACCCCUUCCCUCCUCCUCACUGUGCACUGUGCGUCAGCACACUGGCCACUUUGUGUUCCUCUAACACAGGUUCUCCAAGUCCAGUCCCCAAGCCAGCUGCACAGCAACACCUGGGACGCAAAUUUUUGGCCCCUACCUCUGGUUUACUGAAUCAGAAGCUGCUGGUGGGCCUGGUGGCUUGUUUUCAGGAGCCUGGGGGUUGGGGUUCUGGUGCAUGCUGGUGGGCCCCUUAUGUCCUACCUGCAGGCUAGAGGAAGUACCACUUACUUGGUCGUGUUCUUGUGCAGAGUACCUAGGACUUCCAGGUGGAGCAAAGAUCCUAAAAACACCUUCGAUUCUUGCUUUAUCUACACUAAAGUUCUGUACCCAAGCCAGAGCAGUUGAACGCCCACUCCCCACCCCCUGAAUGUGGCAAAACCAGCCAAUUCCACCACAAAAUGUUGUCUCCCCUUCAUUCAGUUCACAUGGAUUGGGCACCUUCUGUGAGACACUGUGCAGGCUUGGAGGACAAGGGGUGGAAGAGGCAAACGGAAUCUGUGCUCCCCCCAAGUUGAGGGCAUACAUGGGAGGAACAUGUGAGAGCUGGGCUUGAAACUCCACCUAACACCCCCCAAAUGUGAGACCUGGGCCACUCACCAGUGCUCCAUGGAGAUGGCGAUACAGGACUGCUCAGAGUUGGGGUGGGGGUUAGUAAGGGCUGGGUCUUUACUGGCCUAAGCCAAUCAGGACCUUCCCCUCCUUGACCGUUAUUGGUGGAGGCCCAGGUGUCUGACUGGAGAGAUGUGGGGGCUGUUUUGCCCCCACCCCAGCGGUGGGGGAACUUGCAGAAUGGUUUUCCCAGCUCUCAAGAGGCGAGAGGAGGAAACAGCUGUCCUGUGACCUCAUCCUGUGUGUGGGUGAUGCUUUAAACUCUGGCAACUGUCUGGGUGUCGUGAGGAUGAUGGUUGGAGCUCCCAACUAGGACAGGCAGGAGGGGAGAAGGAAGAGCUGGGUCCUUCAUGAUGCGGUAAACAGCUAGAUCGACCAGCCGAGGCUGGAGCUCCUCCAUCCCCUCCUCUUGACACCAAGCAAGUCACCUCAAGCCACACUGGGCUUAUCUCUCCUUGGAACUGGAAGUGUCAGCCAGUCACAUAUCUGGGGCAGGCUUCUUGGGGUUGCACCCUGCACACCAUGUGAUGCCCUGAAGUUGGUCUUGGGGUUCUUGAUCAGCAGGGGAGUCUGCCCUGGGCCCUGCUCCUGUGCAUGUCUGUGCAGUGUCUGAACUCCACGUUCAGGCCAGGUGUCCUUAGUUCAGGUUCCUGGAUAGGAGGGCCUGAUCUCAUUUACCUGGGCAGAUGGUCCUUAUCUCAUAUCACUUGUGAUGUACCCUGAGUGCACCAUAGACACUGGCAGGGAGCAGGAGGGAGCCAUGGCUCGGUGGACUUCCUUCCUCCCUUGUACAUCCUGCAUCCCGCAGUGACCAUUUCAGAUGUCUCCUGCUUCUGGAAGUCUUGCCAGACCACCCCCACCUCAGUACGCCUGCACAAAGUUCUCCACUGAGCCUCCCCAAGGACACCCACCCCAUGCUUCAUGCAGCAAAGACCAGCUGUCGCCUGCCCAGGCCUUGCUUCAGCUUGGCACCUGUGUGCAAUGAGGGAAGCGGGUCUCACCCGGCUUCCCAGCCCCCGGGGUGAGAAUUCCUUUGGCAGCAAAUUUAGCUCCUACCCCCCUAAAGCAGCCUGGUUCCUUUGUAGCAUGCCUGUAAUUAUUACUCAAAACAAUAAUUAACGUUUUCUGUCUGUAUGGUGCUUUGAAGCCACAAGGUCCUCCAGGGCAAGGAUGGGGUUCGGUUCAUUGCUGGGUCUGCAGCCUCUGGCGCCAGGAGGCUCAGGUUGUUAUUGGACAGAUGGAUGAUGGGUGAGUAAGCGAGCCGCGGAGAGCCCAGGAAGGAGAAGCCUAAGUGAACAGCACCCGUCCAUGCAGC
This 2109-nucleotide long non-coding RNA is filed under the name Marmota monax (woodchuck). The record is from RNAcentral. Lineage: Eukaryota; Metazoa; Chordata; Mammalia; Rodentia; Sciuridae.